AUUAACUUACACUAACCAGCGCCAGGGAAUUACGAGCUAUGCUUAAAACCCAAAGGACUUGACGGUUUCCCACCCCCCUAGAGGAGCCUGUUCUAUAAUCGAUGAUCCCCGCUAUACCCAACCAUCCCUCGCUACCAGUCUGUAUACCUCCGUCGAAAGCUUACCAUAUGAACGUUUUCAGUAAGCCCAAUGACCCCAUCAAUACGUCAGGUCAAGGUGCAGCUUAAGGAAUGGAAAGUAAUGGGCUACAAUUUCUAACCUAGAACAAACGAAAGACUAUGUGAAACCAUAGUCAUGAAGGCGGAUUUAGUAGUAAAAAGAAAAUAGAGUGUUCUUUUUAACAUGGCUCUGGGACGCGUACACACCGCCCGUCACCCUCUUCAAUAGUAUCCUAAUUUAGUUAUUAACCCCUUUUACCUUACAUCUUAGAAGAGGCAAGUCGUAACAUGGUAAGUGUACUGGAAAGUGCACUUGGAACACAAAAUGUAGCUUAAUAAAGCCCCCCGCUUACACCGAGAAGUUGUCUGUUAAACCCAGAUCAUUUUGAGCCUAAAAUCUAGCCUUCACAUUCACAUGACCCCACUAAUUCACCGCCCUAAAUAAAACAUUUUUACAUUUAAGUACAGGCGACAGAAAAACUUCUAAGCGCUUCAGACAAAGUACCGCAAGGGAAUUAUGAAAUAGAAAUGAAAUAA
Molecule: ribosomal RNA, 695 nt
Filed under: Nidirana pleuraden (Yunnan pond frog)
Lineage: Eukaryota; Metazoa; Chordata; Amphibia; Anura; Ranidae
Description: partial 12S ribosomal RNA
Rfam family: Bacterial small subunit ribosomal RNA (bases 1-487)
Source: RNAcentral